UUUGGAAAUAGAAAUUGAAUGUAGUUCAGUGGCUGACAGCUGUCCUUAAUUAGCCAACGACAUUAGAAGGGUCUGGGAUUCCUUUAAAAGGAGCAACCAAAUAUCUGGCAAAUAUAGUAAAAGGGAUAUUCUGGUAGGACGUAUGCCUACCAUUAGUUCUGAAUACUGGUGAGGUUUUGAGGGAAAAAUGGCCGUGAUGAUUGGAAUCGCUUUCAGGUAUGUUAAGUAUUGAUUAAGUUUGUUUCCCUUGUCCUUCAGGUGUUACAGGUAGCUAUGUUUAUAACACAUCAUUUUUCCUUAAGCGUUUCUUGGCUUUGUUGCCUGCUAAUUGGAGGGAUAACGUGUUCUACAUCAGAAGGUGAUUGGUCUCCUGCACUGGAUUCUAAUGCAGCAUGGCUCUAUGCAGGAUCACUUCGGUCUCUAGGAUAUGGCAAUUAUAAAUCUCAAAUGCAAGCGCAGCAGAAACAUCCGGCCGCCAUCCUGCGGAAAGAACUGGCCCCCAUGUCCCGGCAACCUCAGCAAGUGUGGUAUCCAGGUCAAAUGCCCCUGCAUCAGAAGCAACGUGCCGCAGAAGCUCAGCAGCAGAGGCAAGCGACAACUGUGCCCCAGCAAGUGUGGCAUCAAGCUCACAUGCUGACAGAACCACCGACCGCCGUGCCCCAGCAAGUGUGGCAUCCUAAUCAAAUGCUGCAGAAGCAAUCACCCGCCUCGCCUCAGCAAGUGUGGCAUCCUGCUCAAAAGCCCCUGCAGCAGAAGCUACCGACCGCCGUGCCCCAGCAAGUGUGGCAUCCAGCUCAAAUGCAGCAGAAGCAACCGACCGCCGUGCCCCAGCAAGUGUGGCAUCCUUCUCAAAUGCCUCUGCAGCAGACGCAAACGACCCCCGUGCCCCAGGAAGCAUGGCAUCCUGCUCAGAUUCCCCAGCAGAAGCAACUGGCCCCUAUGCCUCUACUGCAGAAGGAACCAACCACCAUAGCCCAGCAAACUCAGCAGGUGUGGCAUCCAGCUCAAAUGUCCAAGAAUCGAACAGCCACUGAACCUCAGCAGAAGCAACCAUCCACCACGCCCCAGCAAGCGUGGCAUCCAGCUCAAAAUCCCCUGCAGCAGAAGCAACCGGCCACUGAACCUCAACAGAAGGAGCUGACCGCCAUGCCACAGAAGCUACAGGCCUCCAUUCUCCAGCAGCCUCCGCUUGUGUGGCAUCCAUCUCAAUUUCCCCAGCAGAAGGAACUGGCAGUCGAGCCUCAGCAAGUGAGGUAUCCAGCUCAAAUGGCCCAGCAGCUACCCAACCCCAUUCAUCAGCAAUUAUGGCAUGUAGCCCAAAUUUCCCAGCAGCAACUGGCCCCAUUGUCUCAACAGAAGCACUACGAAAGCACUGAAGAUGCCUCUGGUAGUUCUCAGGCCAGCAUUGAACAGUCAGGUGUCAUCCCCAUCUCUUCCUACAGUUCCAAAUCGCACUACAAGAAUGGCAGAACUGUCUUCUCCCAAAUCAGCUACACUCCUAGGGAGGCAAUGCCUGUUGACAGUGGAAAUGCUCCCAAGGACGGUUAUGUUAGCAUUGGUGCACCAAGCAUAUAUCCAACACUAGUGAAGGAUUCUGCAAGAAAAAUAUAAUGGAUUCAUCCUCUAGAAGCUCUAAUGACCAGGAAGUUGCUGGUGCUCUUGCUACUCUAGUGUGACGGAAUCAAUAAACAACUUACUUUAAAAAAUGC
Oncorhynchus tshawytscha (Chinook salmon) is the source of this 1709-nucleotide long non-coding RNA. Lineage: Eukaryota; Metazoa; Chordata; Actinopteri; Salmoniformes; Salmonidae. The record is from Ensembl.